RNAcentral lists this long non-coding RNA (1467 nucleotides) under Homo sapiens (human). RNAcentral's name for it is "HSALNT0322516". The record is from RNAcentral. Lineage: Eukaryota; Metazoa; Chordata; Mammalia; Primates; Hominidae.
AAUCAUUAGAGAAAUGCAAAUUAAAACAACAUGUUAUUUCACCCCAGUUAAAAUGGCUUGUAUUAAGAAAACAGAUAAUAACAGAUGCUAGUGAGGAUGUGGAGAAAAGAGAACCCUCAUACACUGUUGGUAGAAAUGUAAACUAGUACAACCACUAUGAAGAACAGUAUGGAAGUUCUUCAAAAAACUAAAAAUAGAAUUACCAUAUGAUCCAGCAAUUCCACUACUGAAUAUGUAUCCAAAAGAAAGGAAAUCCGUAUAUCAAAAAGAUAUCUGCACUCCCAUGUUUAUUGCAGCAUUGUUCACAAUAGCCAAGAUAUGGAAUUAACCUAAGUGCCCAUCAAUGGGUGAAUGGAUAAAGUGUGGUGGAUGGAAAGCCGAUUUCCAGUCUUUAUGAUAACGCCGAUGUUCCACUUGGGAAAGAUACUGUACAACAAUGAAAGUAGCCCUUUCUUUUGUCUUUCAAAGAAUGUAUUUUUAACAAACAGCCUCUGUGUGAUCCUUUUGACCACACAAUUUGUAGAGUUAACGCUGAAAUUUUCAUUAGCAACAAUGAAAGCACACACAGGCACAAUAUUAAUAUAGAUUAAUAUCAGCCUAUUUUGGUCAGAAAGGCUCAUUUAAAUGUUUAAGAGACAGAAGUCCCAAAUUGUAGUAAUUUCUUCCACUAGCAGGAGGAAGCUCAGAAUUAGUUUUUCUACAACACUAGAGGAAUACUACUCAAAAAUAAAAAGGAAUUAACCAUUGAUACAUGCAACAACACAGAUGAAUCUCAAAGUAAUUGUGCUGAAAGAAACCAGACCCAGAAAAAGAUAAAUUCUAUAUGAUCUCAUUUAUAUAAGACUCUAGGAAAUGCAAACUAAUCUACACAUACAGAAAACUGAGGGCAGGUACUGAGAAGGGUAGGAGGGGGGCGUUACAGAGAGGCAUGAGGAAACUUUUUGGGGUGAUAGAUAUGUUUACUACUUUGAUUGUAAGGAUGAGGUCGCAACUCUGUGCGUGUCAGUGGUAUAUUUUAAUAUGAACGGCUUAUUUUAUGUAAAUUCUACCCCUAUAAAGCUGUUUUUUUUAAAAAAAAAAACUUCUCUUUGAGAGACAUCACCUUUGUCUUUUAAACCAUCUAAUGUUGAAUCUAAAAGUUCAGUGUAAAGUUUAAUAAAAUCAGAGUGUGUAUGUGUCUUAAUUUCCAGGACAUAUAAUCAUAGUGAUUAAGCCAAAAGUGCUUAUAUGAUUACCUAUAAACUAUCAUAGUUAAAUGACUAAAUACCCUGCAUAAGGUAAAAUGAUUAUUUUAUUCCUAUAGAUUGAAAUUGCCCAACUUUUUAUUAGAGAAUAAUAGAUUAGAGGGCAUGUUGGCUCAUACCUGUAAGCCCAAUGCUUUGGGAGGCUGAAGCGGGAGGAUCCCUUGAGGCCAGGAGUUGAAGAUCAGCUUGGGCAACAUAGCAAGACCACAUCUCUACAAAAAAA